RNAcentral lists this transfer RNA (72 nucleotides) under Heterocephalus glaber (naked mole-rat). It matches the Rfam family "tRNA". From Rfam's summary of the family: Transfer RNA (tRNA) molecules are approximately 80 nucleotides in length. Their secondary structure includes four short double-helical elements and three loops (D, anti-codon, and T loops). Lineage: Eukaryota; Metazoa; Chordata; Mammalia; Rodentia; Bathyergidae. The record is from Rfam by way of RNAcentral.
CUGAGUGUAGCUCAGUGGUAGAGCACUUGCCUGGCAUGUACAAGGCCUUGGGUUUAAUCUCCAACAAACAAG